This 76-nucleotide non-coding RNA is filed under the name unclassified sequences. The record is from RNAcentral.
GUAUCUUGGAGUCCCCGAGGUACCUUGUAAUGCCACCAUUGGAGGUCCCAAGUCCUCAUGAAAGGCAGAGGGAAAG